CCCACUCCAACGUCAAGUUUUCUUGAUGGCUGGGUCUUGAGAGGAUCACACCUCUCUAACGUGGCACGCUUGCGAACCUAAACCGAAUCACAACGUAGUAAAUUUUUCUCGUUGAAGUGAAGGUGAAGGCCGCCUGAAAUCAAACUCUGUA
RNAcentral lists this unclassified non-coding RNA (151 nucleotides) under uncultured Ascomycota. RNAcentral's name for it is "sequence contains ITS2". Lineage: Eukaryota; Fungi; Ascomycota. The record is from RNAcentral.